This is a long non-coding RNA of Triticum dicoccoides, 337 nucleotides long. RefSeq lists it as uncharacterized. The transcript has 3 exons. The record is from RefSeq and is a predicted model, not a curated record. Lineage: Eukaryota; Viridiplantae; Streptophyta; Magnoliopsida; Poales; Poaceae.
CGCAAACCCCCAGAUCAGAUGAGACCACAACGCACCGCGACGAAACUCUAGCUUCCGACGAGCGUCGUCGUAGCGAUGGUGUACUUUGGACGAGUACGUCGACCAAUUCAUGCAAGUUCUUCUGCUUCAGCCCCAAUACUGUGUGAAGAAAGUGUGUAUUGUUGGACUUUUUCUCGUACAGAAAUGCAGAUCUCUUGAUUCACCCCCUAUGACCGUGAUCAGGCCUAUGUGUGACGCUUGAUCUCCAAGCUCCGGAAUUAUUGUGCCUAUGUGCGGUGUCAUUUGACUCCAAGGUUUCACAUGUUUGACGCCUAGGCGGCCACAUUGUGUAAGGUAA